CCUUCGGGGUGCUGACGAGUGGCGGACGGGUGAGUAACGCGUAGGAAUCUACCCAUCAGUGGGGGAUAGCCCGGAGAAAUCCGGAUUAAUACCGCAUACGCCCUACGGGGCAAAGCGGGGGAUCGAAAGACCUCGCGCUGGUGGAGGAGCCUACGUCCGAUUAGCUAGUUGGUGGGGUAAAAGCCUACCAAGGCAACGAUCGGUAGCUGGUCUGAGAGGACGACCAGCCACACUGGGACUGAGACACGGCCCAGACUCCUACGGGAGGCAGCAGUGGGGAAUAUUGGACAAUGGGGGAAACCCUGAUCCAGCAAUGCCGCGUGGGUGAUGAAGGCCUUCGGGUUGUAAAGUCCUUUCGUGGGGGACGAAAAGGCGGGUCCUAAUACGAUCUGCUGUUGACGUGAACCCAAGAAGAAGCACCGGCUAACUCCGUGCCAGCAGCCGCGGUAAUACGGGGGGUGCAAGCGUUAAUCGGAAUCACUGGGCGUAAAGGGUGCGUAGGCGGUACGUUAGGUCUGUCGUGAAAUCCCCGGGCUCAGCCUGGGAAUGGCGGUAGAAACCGGCGCACUAGAGUAUGGGAGAGGGUGGUGGAAUUCCAGGUGUAGCGGUGAAAUGCGUA
This 619-nucleotide ribosomal RNA is filed under the name uncultured bacterium. RNAcentral's name for it is "bacterial SSU rRNA". It matches the Rfam family "Bacterial small subunit ribosomal RNA", at positions 77 to 692 of the family's 1533-position model. The record is from RNAcentral.